CGAGCUGGCCGGGCGGCCGCGUCGGCGGUUCACGCAACCGCCGCCGAGGAAAGUCCGGACUCCGCAGGGCAGGGUGGUUGUUAACGGCAACCCGGGGCGACCCGCGGGACAGUGCCACAGAGAACAGACCGCCUCGCGCCUCGGCGCGAGGUAAGGGUGAAACGGUGGUGUAAGAGACCACCAGCACCCCGGGUGACCGGGGUGGCUCGGUAAACCCCACCCGGAGCAAGGCCAGGAGGCUCCCGUCCUCGCGGACGGGAGCUGCGCAGAUGUUCGAGGGCUGCCCGCCCGAGUCUGCGGGUAGGCCGCACAGAGCCCGCCGGCGACGGCGGGUCGAGAUGGAUGGCCGCCGAACGGAGCGCCGUGAGGCGCCCGGGAACAGGAUCCGGCUUACAGGCCAGCUCGUCCG
Molecule: RNase P RNA, 409 nt
Filed under: Pseudonocardia acidicola
Lineage: Bacteria; Bacillati; Actinomycetota; Actinomycetes; Pseudonocardiales; Pseudonocardiaceae
Description: RNase P RNA component class A
Rfam family: Bacterial RNase P class A
About the family: Ribonuclease P (RNase P) is a ubiquitous endoribonuclease, found in archaea, bacteria and eukarya as well as chloroplasts and mitochondria. Its best characterised activity is the generation of mature 5'-ends of tRNAs by cleaving the 5'-leader elements of precursor-tRNAs. Cellular RNase Ps are ribonucleoproteins.
Source: RNAcentral